This 845-nucleotide long non-coding RNA is filed under the name Cyclopterus lumpus (lumpfish). RNAcentral describes it as "lncRNA (ENSCLMG00005010840.1)". Lineage: Eukaryota; Metazoa; Chordata; Actinopteri; Perciformes; Cyclopteridae. The record is from RNAcentral.
CGGGUUGUGAAGGUAAAUGAAAGCAGCAAGAAUCUGACACACAACAAUCUGACACAUAUGCGAUACGUGUUAGUCUUCCUGGAGUUGAGAAAGCCCAACAUGGCCUUUCAGUUGACACCGACAACAACGACACUCCACUGAAUGUGUCACAAAGGUGUGAGCUGUGGUGGCGUGUACUGGGUGUACUGGGAGGAGAUCAAGCACACAGAAAUGUAUUCCAACCACACAACUCUCCACAUUUCAACCCCAAACUCCAAACCUGGAUUUCCUGGCUACUAUGCACUCAUCUCCUUUGUCCUACUCACACUGAUUGGAUGUGUAGUGGCAAUGGUUGUUUAUAUCAGAAGGAGGUCACGAUUAGAUGAGCUGCGGCAUCGUCUGAUUCCUCUGUACAGCUUCGACCCCACAGAGGACCGAGACGAGUGGGAGGACAGUGGCAGGGAGGAGGUGGAGGAGCUGGCGGAACCUUUAUAUAAGGAGGGACAUCUCUCCUUUUCAGGGGUCUCUAGGUCAUGAACAGAAAAACCAAGAAAGAAAAAAUAAUGUGGCCGAUUAAAGCACGAUUUCUGCCAUCGAACUGCAGAGACUUUACAAAUCGAGACUUGCCACCCUAUGAAGUAUAAAACUAACAUCUGGAAGACAUUCCACAAUUACAGCACCACAUCAAAUAAUAAAAUGUAAACGUCUUCCCUCAUGACCUUUCUUUUGCAGAGCAGCAGAUGGCGCUGUGAUCUUUUCUUUUGCCUCAGUUGAGAUGUUCUUUUAAAAGACGGUUCAAAGUGUUUUGAAGGAUUUGAAGCAUGAUGUUAUUUUUGAGCAAUAAACUGAAAGAUAAAAUCCAAACA